This 983-nucleotide long non-coding RNA is filed under the name Homo sapiens (human). RNAcentral's name for it is "HSALNT0024120". Lineage: Eukaryota; Metazoa; Chordata; Mammalia; Primates; Hominidae. The record is from RNAcentral.
CAGAAAUCUGUUCUGACAUUAAAAGGAAAUGAGUGAGAACAUUUGUGCAGACCAUAUUUUACAUCCUUCCACGCCUUUCAGGCCUUAUUGAAGAUGAAUGGAUCACCAUUGAUAAAUUUACCAGAUUCACUGAUGUUCCUUUAGCUGCGGGAUUUCAGUGGUACCUUUCUCAAACUCAACUUAGUAAACUAAAACCAGGUGACUGGUCUCAGCAAGACAUAGGUACUAAUUUGGUCGAAGCAGAUAACCAAGCGGAGUGGACCGACGUUCAGAAGAAGAUUAUCCCGUGGAACAGUCGUGUUUCCGACUUAGACCUGGAGCUCCUGUUUCAGGAUCGUGCUGCCAGACUUGGAAAGUCAAUUAGUAGACUCAUCGUUGUGGCCUCGCUCAUCGACAAACCGACCAAUUUAGGAGGUAAAGUUGGAGUUUUCUGGGAGCUUUGCCUGAAAGCUUUUGGUCUUCAACAUUUUUUAAUUAAUCCACUGCCACGGGAGCUUCAAAGGAAUGUAUGCGACAUGAUGAGCUUAGCAUUGUGCUGGGAACAAUCUUAAUGAUCCCAGGUGUUCUGUGCAGGACUGUGCAGGACCUGUGAGGUAUUUGGGGCUUCAGUGCUCGUUGUUGGCAGCCUUCAGUGUAUCAGCGACAAACAGUUUCAGCACCUCAGUGUCUCUGCAGAACAGUGGCUUCCUCUAGUGGAGGUAAAACCACCUCAGCUAAUUGAUUAUCUGCAGCAGAAGAAAACAGAAGGUUAUACCAUCAUUGGAGUGGAACAAACUGCCAAAAGUUUAGACCUAACCCAAUAUUGCUUUCCUGAGAAAUCUCUGCUCUUGUUGGGAAAUGAACGUGAGGGAAUUCCAGCAAAUCUGAUCCAACAGUUGGACGUUUGUGUGGAAAUUCCUCAACAGGGCAUUAUCCGCUCCCUGAAUGUCCAUGUGAGUGGAGCCCUGCUGAUCUGGGAGUACACCAGGCAGCAGCUGCUCUCG